Non-coding RNA from Anas platyrhynchos (mallard), 1023 nucleotides. The record is from RefSeq and is a predicted model, not a curated record. Lineage: Eukaryota; Metazoa; Chordata; Aves; Anseriformes; Anatidae.
CUGGACUUGGCCAGUGUCUCCCACAGCAUGUUCAUUUUUUUUUUUUUUCUGGGAGGACUACAACUUUGGGAUCCUCAGCCUUUUCUGAUUUAUGUCCCUUUGCUUGUGGUGUUUUGUACUCUCCGUCCAGUGUGCAGGCUCUCUGUCUACAGAUACAUUUCACCUAAGAGCUACUGUCUGUGGCACAGCUUCACACUCUCCUGAUGGGAGCCUUUCACAGCUCUUCACAGAUGUCAGAGCCACUGCAACAGAUCAACAGAUGAGGAAAAGGAGUGGACUUGACUGGCCCAAGUGGAAAUUUUCUAUCCACUCCACCUCCCCUGAAGGCAUGUCUUGGGUAGAUGGACCACAAGUUUCUGAUUCACUGCAAAAAAUUAUCUGGUGUGGAAGGAUUUGCUUAGAGCCCGGUUCCAAGCUAACCUCCAGAGCCAUCCCAACCAAACUGAAGUGCUACAAUUAGGAGCAUGAUCACCUGAGGCCCCCUGUGGAUUUGAUGGAGAAGGAUGGUCUUUGCAGAGGGAGGCUUGGACCUCAGGCUGUAAAAAUAGGAAAGACACUGGUACUGGUUCUGGAAGAAGACUUACAGACCGACAGCCUGAGAGCCACCAGCAGCCUGGGAUCCAGAUGGAGAAAUGAACCUCACGGAAACCAAAUCCAUAGAGGAUCCACAGGGAGAUGAAUUCCUGAAGCUGAAUGUGAGCUGAUUUGGGGAGUACAUUGCAUAUUGAAGUAAAUCAUGACACUGCUGUAAGGCACAGAUAACCAAGGUUCAAAUCCCUGUACUCUCUUUGGUUCACACAGGGGGGUUGAACCAAAAUCUUCCACAUCUCAAAGUGCUCUAUCUGAAACUAGUGCAUGUGGCUUUCUCAAUUUCUCCUUCUGGACAUGUUCUCUUGUGAGUAAAAAUUUGCAUAUGAAGAAAGAAGAAAUGAUUCUCCAGCCUUAGGAUUUGAAAUCUUACCUCAGUCGGGGUGUGGUUAUGUAUACUGCUCUCACUCGGGUUUCAGCCAGGGAAAGCAAGCU